UAAGGAAUAUUGCUCAAUGGGAGAAAUCCUGAAGCAGCAACGCCGCGUGGAGGAUGAAGGGUCUAUGACUUGUAAACUCCUGUAAAGAAGGAAAAAAUUCCCAUUUGAUGGGAGAUGAUGGUACUUCUGGAGUAAGCCCCGGCUAACUACGUGCCAGCAGCCGCGGUAAUACGUAGGGGGCAAGCGUUGUCCGGAUUUACUGGGUGUAAAGGGUGCGCAGGCGGACCGAUAAGUCGGGGGUUAAAUCCAUGUGCUUAACACAUGCACGGCUUCCGAUACUGUCGGUCUAGAGUCUCGAAGAGGAAGGUGGAAUUUCUGGUGUAACGGUGGAAUGUGUAGAUAUCGGAAAGAACACCAGUGGCGAAGGCAGCCUUCUGGUCGAGAACUGACGCUCAUGCACGAAAGCGUGGGGAGCAAACA
Molecule: ribosomal RNA, 420 nt
Filed under: uncultured bacterium
Lineage: Bacteria
Description: bacterial SSU rRNA
Rfam family: Bacterial small subunit ribosomal RNA
Source: RNAcentral